This 448-nucleotide ribosomal RNA is filed under the name uncultured organism. RNAcentral's name for it is "partial 16S ribosomal RNA". It matches the Rfam family "Bacterial small subunit ribosomal RNA", at positions 333 to 797 of the family's 1533-position model. The record is from RNAcentral.
ACACUCCUACGGGAGGCAGCAGUGGGGAAUAUUGGACAAUGGGCGCAAGCCUGAUCCAGCCAUGCCGCGUGAGUGAUGAAGGCCCUAGGGUUGUAAAGCUCUUUCACCGGUGAAGAUAAUGACGGUAACCGGAGAAGAAGCCCCGGCUAACUUCGUGCCAGCAGCCGCGGUAAUACGAAGGGGGCUAGCGUUGUUCGGAUUUACUGGGCGUAAAGCGCACGUAGGCGGACUAUUAAGUCAGGGGUGAAAUCCCGGGGCUCAACCCCGGAACUGCCUUUGAUACUGGUAGUCUUGAGUUCGAGAGAGGUGAGUGGAAUUCCGAGUGUAGAGGUGAAAUUCGUAGAUAUUCGGAGGAACACCAGUGGCGAAGGCGGCUCACUGGCUCGAUACUGACGCUGAGGUGCGAAAGCGUGGGGAGCAAACAGAAUUAGAUACCCUGGUAGUCCCA